RNAcentral lists this unclassified non-coding RNA (355 nucleotides) under soil metagenome. RNAcentral describes it as "partial contains 5.8S ribosomal RNA, internal transcribed spacer 2, and large subunit ribosomal RNA". The stretch from base 1 to 120 matches the Rfam family "5.8S ribosomal RNA", at positions 35 to 154 of the family's 154-position model. The record is from RNAcentral.
GAUGAAGAACGUAGCGAAAUGCGAUAAGUAAUGCGAAUUGCAGAAUUCAGUGAAUCAUCGAAUCUUUGAACGCACAUUGCGCCCGCUAGUAUUCUGGCGGGCAUGCCUGUCUGAGCGUCAUUUCAACCCUCGCCCCCGGCUUUUGCUGGGAGCGGUGUUGGGGAUCGGCCGCCCGUCACUGGGAGGCCGGCCCCGAAAUAGAGUGGCGACCACGCCGUGUGCUCCUCUGCGUAGAAGUAAAUCACCUCGCAGGCGGACAGCGGUGCGGCCUGCCGUAAAACCCCCAACUCUUUCUGGUUGACCUCAGAUCAGGUAGGAAUACCCGCUGAACUUAAGCAUAUCAAUAAGCGGAGGA